UACGGAGGGUGCGAGCGUUGUCCGGAAUCACUGGGCGUAAAGGGCGCGUAGGCGGCUUGGUAAGGGGGCGGUGAAAGCCCGGGGCUCAACCCCGGGUCUGCCGGACCGACUGCCGAGCUUGAGCACACUAGGGGCAGGUGGAAUUCCGGGUGUAGCGGUGGAAUGCGUAGAGAUCCGGAAGGAACGCCCGUGGCGAAAGCGAGGCCCUGGACCCUUACUGACGCUGAGACGCGAAAGCCAGGGGAGCGAACGGG
This 254-nucleotide ribosomal RNA is filed under the name uncultured bacterium. Its description in RNAcentral is "partial 16S ribosomal RNA". It matches the Rfam family "Bacterial small subunit ribosomal RNA", at positions 524 to 776 of the family's 1533-position model. The record is from RNAcentral.